RNAcentral lists this ribosomal RNA (253 nucleotides) under uncultured bacterium. RNAcentral's name for it is "partial 16S ribosomal RNA". It matches the Rfam family "Bacterial small subunit ribosomal RNA", at positions 524 to 776 of the family's 1533-position model. The record is from RNAcentral.
UACGAAGGGGGCUAGCGUUGCUCGGAAUCACUGGGCGUAAAGCGCACGUAGGCGGCUUUUUAAGUCAGGGGUGAAAUCCUGGAGCUCAACUCCAGAACUGCCUUUGAUACUGGGAAGCUCGAGUCCGGGAGAGGUGAGUGGAACUCCGAGUGUAGAGGUGAAAUUCGUAGAUAUUCGCAAGAACACCAGUGGCGAAGGCGGCAUCCUGGACCGGUAUUGACGCUGAGGCGCGAAAGCCAGGGGAGCAAACGGG